Long non-coding RNA from Coccinella septempunctata (seven-spotted ladybird), 1078 nucleotides. RefSeq lists it as uncharacterized. The record is from RefSeq and is a predicted model, not a curated record. The transcript is spliced from 2 exons. Lineage: Eukaryota; Metazoa; Arthropoda; Insecta; Coleoptera; Coccinellidae.
AAAGAUUAUAGAGUUAGGAAGAUAGGAAACCAAGCGUAUACACUUGCUGUAGCGCCACCUGGUGGUUCAAUUGUUGUACUAAGAUGCCAAGAAUGGUUAAAAUAUUUAUUCGACGGCCAUUUGGAGAAACAUAAUUUGACUUUUGUAAGAUUUGAAGAAACAUGGACGUUUUGUUUUGGUUCUCUUUCCGCUCGUCGUUUAUUUAGUUCAUUUAAGUCGUUUAUUAUUAGAGUUUUUUGUGUAUUUACUUAGUGAAAACUUCAAAAUCAAAGAAAAAUAUCUUUGCUCAAAAUGUCUUAUGGAAACUAUUGUAUGGUGAGGAACUGUGGAAACUGUAGUACGAAAGAUUCUCCGAAUAUAAGUUUUUUGAAUUUACCAUAAAUAUCUGAACUACUCUGAAGUGAAUGGGAUUUUCAGUAUGUCCAGACAUUAACUUGGUGAACUGCAGUAAAAAAGUUUCUCCUGGAAUACGUAGAGUCAUUAUAAUUUCUUUGAGGUUGCAUCUCCUAAAUACUGAGCAGAAAAAAGAAAUUUGUUCUCUGAUGUACGAUGAAAUUAGUCUAUCUGAAGAGUUGCACUUUGGCGAUCACCACGUUGUCUAUGCGUAAGUGGUGAGACAAGCUGAGGAUGGUAUAAAAGAGUAAGUCCAAAACUUCAAGUGAAAAAAACAGAGCAAUACAAAGUACUAGAGAAACCAACAGGUCGAAUUUGGGAAUAAUUUUUAAGUUUAAAUCUGAUUUUCUCAAAACCAAAUAAAAUGCACUUGUACUCCUGGGCUCUUAUACUACAAUUUUAUACAUUAGAAUAGAUACACGUAUUUCAAUUUAGCACUGAAUUUUAUCAUUUAUAGCUGGAUAUAUGUAUUAUUAGGUUGAUAUGCAAUUCAUGUUAUUAGUGAAGUUAUUUGCAUUUUGGAGUUGACUUGUUAUUCUUACAUAUCUUUACCGAUAUACAGGUUACACCUAUGUAAAUUUGUUUUUAAUUGUGGUUCUGAAAAUUCUGUAACUAAUAUGUAAAAGAAUUCUUGAGAUAUGUUGUAUCGAAUAUUUGUUCAUAUUAAUUUCUGAUAAAAAUUUUA